ACUCCUACGGGAGGCAGCAGUGAGGAAUUUUGCGCAAUGGGGGGAACCCUGACGCAGCAACGCCGCGUGAGUGAAGAAGGCUUUCGGGUCGUAAAGCUCUGUCAAGAGGGAAGAAAGUGGUAUGUAGUAAUACUAUAUAUUAUUGACGGUACCUCUGAAGGAAGCACCGGCUAACUCCGUGCCAGCAGCCGCGGUAAU
This 198-nucleotide ribosomal RNA is filed under the name uncultured bacterium. Its description in RNAcentral is "partial 16S ribosomal RNA". It matches the Rfam family "Bacterial small subunit ribosomal RNA", at positions 335 to 524 of the family's 1533-position model. The record is from RNAcentral.